AGUGAACGCUGGCGGUAGGCCUAACACAUGCAAGUCGAACGGCAGCACAGUAAGAGCUUGCUCUUACGGGUGGCGAGUGGCGGACGGGUGAGGAAUACAUCGGAAUCUACUUUUUCGUGGGGGAUAACGUAGGUAAACUUACGCUAAUACCGCAUACGACCUACGGGUGAAAGCAGGGGAUCUUCGGACCUUGCGCGAUUGAAUGAGCCGAUGUCGGGUUAGCUAGUUGGCGGGGUAAAGGCCCACCAAGGCGACGAUCCGUAGCUGGUCUGAGAGGAUGAUCGCCCACCCUGGAACUGGAACACGGUCCAGACUCCUACGGGAGGCAGCAGUGGGGAAUGUUGGACAAUGGGCGCAAGCCUGAUCCAGCCGUACCGCGUGGGUGAAGAAGGCCUUCGGGUUGUAAAGCCCUUUUGUUGGGAAAGAAAAGCAGCAGGUUAAUACCCCGCUGUUCUGACGGUACCCAAAGAAUAAGCACCGGCUAACUUCGUG
This 492-nucleotide ribosomal RNA is filed under the name uncultured bacterium. RNAcentral describes it as "partial 16S ribosomal RNA". It matches the Rfam family "Bacterial small subunit ribosomal RNA", at positions 29 to 507 of the family's 1533-position model. The record is from RNAcentral.